RNAcentral lists this ribosomal RNA (208 nucleotides) under Lotharella globosa. Its description in RNAcentral is "partial 18S ribosomal RNA". It matches the Rfam family "Eukaryotic small subunit ribosomal RNA", at positions 1623 to 1828 of the family's 1831-position model. Lineage: Eukaryota; Cercozoa; Chlorarachniophyceae. The record is from RNAcentral.
GUGAGUCAUCAACUCGCAUUGAUUACGUCCCUGUCCUUUGUACACACCGCCCGUCGCUACUACCGAUUGAAUCAUUUGGUGAGGUCCACGGACUGUUGUGCGGCUUGGCUUGCCAAGACGUACUUCCUGGGAAGUGGCACGAACCUGAUGAUUUAGAGGAAGUAAAAGUCGUAACAAGGUUUCCGUAGGUGAACCUGCGGAAGGAUCA